CGAUUGCAAACUUGCUGCACGAUGGAGCGACAAACGUAACGGUUUUUUUGGCGGUGCUGGACGAAUUUUCGAAUUGAUCUCGUGACAACUAUAUGUUCCUGACAUUUCCGAGUGUUCCGAAGCUCGAGAUUGAUUAUCCUGAAAGACACGAGCCGUUAUGUGAAUAAUAUCUUACUUCAUGCAAUUGAAGAACAUUACAACGUAGAUAUGAUCAUUCUGAACAGUUCGGUAUCAUAUAAUGAAUUGAAUAUUGAUGAACUUACCUGCAUUCGAUAAAAGCAGUGGAAUCGAGUCGUGAGGAGCGCCUUCGUUGCGAUUGCAACUGUCCCUGUGAUUGAUGAAAAUCUAAGCUCGCGGUUGAGCGUGUUAAUUGAAAAUUCGUCAACGAUACGCCCUUCUGACGACUUCGGGAUUUUUGGUGGCCGUUUGUCGCACUAUCCGAUGAAAAAUCAAGCAAUUCCUUCGGAUUACGAGAAUCUUGAACGAAUGUUCGUCCUUGAUCGGUUUGACGCGUUCGUACGCAUACAGAUUGAAAUACCGAAUAAAAUUUUUUUAAUAUUAUGUACCUGGACAUGAUCCUGGUGACUCGGCGGUGUCUCGACAACGGUAAUUUCGGGUCGUGCUGGCGCCAAAA
RNAcentral lists this long non-coding RNA (634 nucleotides) under Venturia canescens. RNAcentral describes it as "uncharacterized LOC122409249, transcript variant X2". The record is from RNAcentral. Lineage: Eukaryota; Metazoa; Arthropoda; Insecta; Hymenoptera; Ichneumonidae.